UGGGGAAUUUUGGACAAUGGGCGAAAGCCUGAUCCAGCAAUGCCGCGUGUGUGAAGAAGGCCUUCGGGUUGUAAAGCACUUUUGUCCGGAAAGAAAUCCUUGGCUCUAAUACAGUCGGGGGAUGACGGUACCGGAAGAAUAAGCACCGGCUAACUACGUGCCAGCAGCCGCGGUAAUACGUAGGGUGCAAGCGUUAAUCGGAAUUACUGGGCGUAAAGCGUGCACAGGCGGUUUGCUAAGACCGAUGUGAAAUCCCCGGGCUCAACCUGGGAACUGCAUUGGUGACUGGCAGGCUAGAGUAUGGCAGAGGGGGGUAGAAUUCCACGUGUAGCAGUGAAAUGCGUAGAGAUGUGGAGGAAUACCGAUGGCGAAGGCAGCCCCCUGGGCCAAUACUGACGCUCAUGCACGAAAGCGUGGGGAGCAAAACAGGAUUAGAUACCCUGGUAGUCCACGCCCUAAAACGAUGUCAACUAGUUGUUGGGGAUUCAUUUCCUUAGUAACGUAGCUAACGCGUGAAGUUGACCGCCUGGGGAGUACGGUCGCAAGAUUAAAAACUCAAAGGAAUUGACGGGGUCAUAGCUGUUUCCU
This 588-nucleotide ribosomal RNA is filed under the name uncultured bacterium. RNAcentral describes it as "partial 16S ribosomal RNA". It matches the Rfam family "Bacterial small subunit ribosomal RNA", at positions 355 to 1375 of the family's 1533-position model. The record is from RNAcentral.